GCCAGUGCAAUCGGGCCAAUUGCGGCUGAAUGUCGGCUCACUUGGCUGGCCCAGUAAUGGUUGCCAGAUUUGGCUAGGCUUUGGAUGUGCAGACCUGGCCCGGUUUGCACUGAGACACGGCACAUUUAACCACAUUACGGACCGGUCCGUAUGGGCAUGUAUACCUGGACCAGUUUAGGUUGAGUGCUGGGGGCUUUUUGUGCUGCUAAUUGCCAGAAGACCAGAAGAACUUGCUACCCUGUGCAAAGAAAUGCAAGUACUGGCAGUGCAUCAGAUGGAGAGAUUUAAAAGGUCAACAAAAGAUGGCUGCUGCUCACUUUGGACAGAGAUGGGGGAAGAAAAGAGUGGGUCCGAACGCAAACAAAUUCUUCUAAAGUCUGUCCCUCUUUUAGAGUACGCUUACUUGAGGAAUCUCCUGGAUUUUAUUUUUUUUCAAAUAAAUUCUAAUAUCGCU
Molecule: long non-coding RNA, 454 nt
Organism: Sinocyclocheilus grahami
Lineage: Eukaryota; Metazoa; Chordata; Actinopteri; Cypriniformes; Cyprinidae
Exons: 4
Source: RefSeq, a predicted model, not a curated record